GACGAACGCUGGCGGCGUGCUUAACACAUGCAAGUCGAACGGAAAGGCCCUGCUUUUGUGGGGUGCUCGAGUGGCGAACGGGUGAGUAACACGUGAGUAACCUGCCCUUGACUUUGGGAUAACUUCAGGGAACUGGGGCUAAUACCGGAUAGGAGCUCCUGCUGCAUGGUGGGGGUUGGAAAGUUUCGGCGGUUGGGGAUGGACUCGCGGCUUAUCAGCUUGUUGGUGGGGUAGUGGCUUACCAAGGCUUUGACGGGUAGCCGGCCUGAGAGGGUGACCGGCCACAUUGGGACUGAGAUACGGCCCAGACUCCUACGGGAGGCAGCAGUGGGGAAUAUUGCACAAUGGGCGGAAGCCGGAUGCAGCAACGCCGCGUGCGGGAUGACGGCCUUCGGGUUGUAAACCGCUUUCGCCUGUGACGAAGCGUGAGUGACGGUAAUGGGUAAAGAAGCACCGGCUAACUACGU
This 467-nucleotide ribosomal RNA is filed under the name uncultured bacterium. Its description in RNAcentral is "partial 16S ribosomal RNA". It matches the Rfam family "Bacterial small subunit ribosomal RNA", at positions 28 to 506 of the family's 1533-position model. The record is from RNAcentral.